This 1440-nucleotide ribosomal RNA is filed under the name uncultured organism. Its description in RNAcentral is "SSU rRNA". It matches the Rfam family "Bacterial small subunit ribosomal RNA". The record is from RNAcentral.
CUAGCGACAGGCUUAACACAUGCAAGUCGAGGGGCAGCACGGUGUAGCAAUACAUUGGUGGCGACCGGCGCACGGGUGAGUAACGCGUAUGCAACCUACCUAUCAGAGGGGAAUAACCCGGCGAAAGUCGGACUAAUACCGCAUAAAACAGGGGUUCCACAUGGAAAUAUUUGUUAAAGAUUUAUCGCUGAUAGAUGGGCAUGCGUUCCAUUAGAUAGUUGGUGAGGUAACGGCUCACCAAGUCUACGAUGGAUAGGGGUUCUGAGAGGAAGGUCCCCCACACUGGUACUGAGACACGGACCAGACUCCUACGGGAGGCAGCAGUGAGGAAUAUUGGCCAAUGGGCGAGAGCCUGAACCAGCCAAGUCGCGUGAAGGAUGAAGGAUCUAUGGUUUGUAAACUUCUUUUAUAUGGGAAUAAAGUGAGGAACGUGUUCCUUUUUGUAUGUACCAUAUGAAUAAGCAUCGGCUAACUCCGUGCCAGCAGCCGCGGUAAUACGGAGGAUGCGAGCGUUAUCCGGAUUUAUUGGGUUUAAAGGGUGCGUAGGUGGUUUUUUAAGUCAGCGGUGAAAGUUUGUGGCUCAACCAUAAAAUUGCCGUUGAAACUGGGGAACUUGAGUAUAUUUGAGGUAGGCGGAAUGCGUGGUGUAGCGGUGAAAUGCAUAGAUAUCACGCAGAACUCCGAUUGCGAAGGCAGCUUACUAAACUAUAACUGACACUGAAGCACGAAAGCGUGGGGAUCAAACAGGAUUAGAUACCCUGGUAGUCCACGCAGUAAACGAUGAUUACUAGCUGUUUGCGAUACACAGUAAGCGGCACAGCGAAAGCGUUAAGUAAUCCACCUGGGGAGUACGCCGGCAACGGUGAAACUCAAAGGAAUUGACGGGGGCCCGCACAAGCGGAGGAACAUGUGGUUUAAUUCGAUGAUACGCGAGGAACCUUACCCGGGUUUGAACGCAUUCGGACCGACUGUGAAAGCAGUCUUUCAGCAAUGACCGUUUGCGAGGUGCUGCAUGGUUGUCGUCAGCUCGUGCCGUGAGGUGUCGGCUUAAGUGCCAUAACGAGCGCAACCCUUAUCACUAGUUACUAACAGGUCAUGCUGAGGACUCUAGUGAGACUGCCAGCGUAAGCUGUGAGGAAGGUGGGGAUGACGUCAAAUCAGCACGGCCCUUACAUCCGGGGCGACACACGUGUUACAAUGGUGGGGACAAAGGGCGGCUACACAGCGAUGUGAUGCUAAUCUCCAAACCCCAUCUCAGUUCGGAUCGAAGUCUGCAACCCGACUUCGUGAAGCUGGAUUCGCUAGUAAUCGCGCAUCAGCCAUGGCGCGGUGAAUACGUUCCCGGGCCUUGUACACACCGCCCGUCAAGCCAUGGGAGUUGGGGGUACCUAAAGUCCGUAACCGCAAGGAUCGGCCUAGGGUAAAACCGAUGACUGGGGC